Molecule: ribosomal RNA, 276 nt
Filed under: uncultured bacterium
Lineage: Bacteria
Description: partial 16S ribosomal RNA
Rfam family: Bacterial small subunit ribosomal RNA
Source: RNAcentral
UACGGAGGGGGUUAGCGUUGUUCGGAAUUACUGGGCGUAAGCGCGCGUAGGCGGACUAUUAAGUCAAGAGGUGAAAUCCCGGGGCUACAACCCCCGGGAACUGCCUUUGAUACUGGUAGUCUUGAGUUCGAGAGAGGUAAGUGGAAUUCCGAGUGUAGAGGUGAAAUUCGUAGAUAUUCGGAGGAACACCAGUGGCGAAAGGCGGCUUACUGGCUCAUACUGACGCUGAGGUGCGAAAGUGUGGGGAGCAAACAGGAUUAGAUACCCCUGUAGUCC